This 1926-nucleotide long non-coding RNA is filed under the name Homo sapiens (human). RNAcentral's name for it is "HSALNT0389436". Lineage: Eukaryota; Metazoa; Chordata; Mammalia; Primates; Hominidae. The record is from RNAcentral.
UUGCCCAGGCUGGUCUGGAACUCCUGAGCUGGACCGAUCCUCCUGCCUUGGCCUCCCAAAGUGCUGAGAUUGCAGGAGUAAUUGGGCAGUAUCUUUUAACUGCAGUGGAGAAGUGUCAACACUACUUUGGCUGUGGGACCAGGAUCCUGCUGCCUGGAGGCAGAUUGAUAUUUUUAUUUCACCUUUAAAGGAUGUACAGUAAGGGUGAGAACAUCUCGAUGAAAUCUCUGCAGUAAAUAACUCUUGGAUCCCUUUCCCAUACAAGUGAAAGGACAAAAGGAUGAUAUGCUGAGAUGGCCUCUUCACCUGCACCAAUGCCAGGGCCAGGGUGGGUCUCAGCUACCCACCCCCAGGAAAGAAGCCUCCUCACCAGUCUCAGGAAGAAAAAUCCUAGAGAAGGCUCUGAUUAGACCAACAUGGUCACAUGGCCACCUGUGUAGCAGGAGAGAAAAGGAACACACUGUACGAGAGAGGAGAAGCAGUUCUCUAAGCAGAAGGGAGCUGUUUGUUACUAGAUGAAGGAGACAGAGCACUGGGCAGACAAGUGGAACAGAUGUCCCCUCCAGAUAUAAGGUGACAUUACUGCUAUUCAUAUCAUUUCACAACAUGCAAUCGUUUAUGGGAACCUCUGAGAGUCAGGGGAGAUGAGAAAAAGGAAGUGGAGAUCAGAACAGAUCACAGAGCGAGAUCACUGAAUGGUCAGCAACAGGCUAUUUUGCAUACUUUCUCAUGUCAUCUUUGCAAGAACCUACAUCUUUGCAAGUAGGAAUUAACAGUCUGCAUUUUCAAGGUGAGGAAGGGGACACCUGGAGAGGUGAAGUGGCUCCCCAGAGGUCACGUGGCUAGAAAGGGCAACUCUGGGAUUUGAACCCAGGUCUGCCCCACCUGGGUCUCGUGCUUUUUGCCCAGUCCCAUGGAGUGGCAGGGAAUGACAGGCCCGCCCCUGACUUGGAAGCACGUCUUUUGUGUCUCUUUAGAAGAAACCAGAGCUUACUCAGGCAGAGGUUAGGGUCUGACAGCUGGGAGAAUCAAGUGUGGAAUGAAUAAGUGGCCAACAGAGAAAAUAGUUCAGGAGGCAGGAUUGAAAGGAAGAGACCCUUGUAGGGGUGUGUGUGGGGAUCCUACACCCCAGUCCCUGUCUCCCUCCCCUACCUCUCCCUUUCUCCUCUUCAACUCAACUCCAAGUGGCAGAUUUAUUAGUUUUAAUUAACAGCCCAAAUGCUUGGAAAACGUCCAAAUUCCAGCUCUUGGCAUCACUGGGUUUCCACGGGAAGGGGUGUGAGGGGGAUGAUGCCAGGAAUAGUAAUGAGCCGGGGUGAGACAGCAGGAGAAACCACCCUCCCUGCCUGGACCUGGCCUGGGCACCUGCCAUCCAUCCUCUGGCCCAACCUGACCUAACCUUGUGGGAGCUAGAGCUGGGCUGGCUUUGUGGGUGGGGGAGGCCCAAUCCCAUGUAAGGUCAUGGGAUUUGGGAGCAUUUGGCUGUGGUUAGAGAUCUGCUGCUGUGUGACCUUGGCCAAGGUGCUUGACUUCUCUGGGGUUAUGGUGAAAUUCAUCUGCAAAGUGAAGGGGAUGAUUUCAAGCCCUGUGAGAGUCCUGGCAGCUCUAAAUUGUGAUUCAGCUUUUUUCCCAAAUCUUCUAACUGCCCUACUUUUCUGACUCUUCCUCUUCCAGGGAAAGACCUUGAAUUUCUCCCUUGGACUCUGCUCCUCUCCUAGAGCCUCCUUCCAGUUUGGAAAAAGUUCUCCACUCCCAGUUUGGGUGUAAGGCCUUCACUUACACCCAAGUGUAACUGUGUAAGGCAAUCCUGUUUGAGGUCUGUCAAUCUGAGCUUGACCUUGGCUCUAUGAGCCCUUACUGGGUGGGGGUCUCAGGCAAGUCUGUGCCAUGCAUUUCCUCAUUGCACAUGGGGAUGACAAUGACUGU